GCCCCCGUAGCUCAAAGGAUAGAGCGCUUGCCUACCAAGCUCGAGGUCCGGGUUCGACUCCCUGCGGGGGCA
RNAcentral lists this transfer RNA (72 nucleotides) under Elusimicrobia bacterium CG_4_9_14_3_um_filter_62_55. RNAcentral's name for it is "tRNA-Gly". It matches the Rfam family "tRNA". Rfam says of the family: Transfer RNA (tRNA) molecules are approximately 80 nucleotides in length. Their secondary structure includes four short double-helical elements and three loops (D, anti-codon, and T loops). The record is from RNAcentral. RNAcentral also lists the same sequence under 1 other name. Lineage: Bacteria; Pseudomonadati; Elusimicrobiota.